RNAcentral lists this long non-coding RNA (255 nucleotides) under Athene cunicularia (burrowing owl). RNAcentral's name for it is "lncRNA (ENSACUG00000005097.1)". Lineage: Eukaryota; Metazoa; Chordata; Aves; Strigiformes; Strigidae. The record is from RNAcentral.
CAGGGUCUCCCGGGUGAGAGAGGGCUGGCUGGCCCCGAGGGGAAGCCGGGCCUGCCAGGCUUCCCCGGCGUGCUGGGACGCCCGGGCAACCAGGGAGACCCGGGACCCCCAGGACCUCCGGGCAGCACUGGCCCACCAGGGACCCAGGGCCCAGCUGGGACCAAGGUACAGUAUCAGCAUCAGCAUUGCCAUGUCCAACCUGGCAGGGGAAGGCAGUGCCUUGCCAGGUUUGGGGGACCUGGAGGGAGGGCCACA